UAUUAUUUUUUUUAUUUUCUGCAGUGGCAUUGACAGCUUUGUUAUAGAAGAUAUUAUUUAGUUAUAAGUGAAGGUGUGCACUCAUUUCUUUAGGGUUAUUUUAAAUUUUAUCAGAAAAGUAUUACCAGCUAUUUUUGUUUUAUUGUAUAAAACUAUUUUACCCACAUUUCUUUAUAUGUUUGUAUUUUAUGGUAUUGUUACUUGUAAUAUAGCCAUAUUUUGGUUCCUUUAGGUUUUUUGUUUUGUUUUUAAUUGUAUGACUUGUUCUGUUGGAACAUACGAAUCAAUAUAUGUUUGUUACACUAAUUAGCUUAAUGAAGCAGUUUUGGUGUAUAGAUCAUGCUUCUGCAGUCACAUUGCUUAAUUCUCUGCAAUUUAAGUGUUAAAUCGCUUUGUUUAUGGAGUCCUAGUCACACCUACCUGCAUGUGACUUGCACUGCCUUUCUAAACACUUUCUGUAAAGAUUCAUCUGUUUACACUCCCUUUAUUACAAAUUCUGAUUAAUUUAGAAUUUCUUCUCACUGCUCAAAGAGCAGGAGAUAAACACUUAAAGUAAGUUAACAUGUUAUUGAAAAUGAAAAACCAAUUUAUUUAUUUUUUUCCAUGCAGGAUGUCGGUCACAGCCCGGGGAGGUGUGGCUAAGGCUGUAUGAACAGAAACAAAGUGAUUUAACUCCUAAAUUGCAGUAAAUUAAGCAGUGAAACUGCAGGGGUAUGAUCUAUACACCAAAACUGCUUCAUUAGGCUAAAGUUGUGUUGGUGACUAUAGUGUCCAUUUAACAUGCAUUGCUAACACUUGGGAGUAAAAAGGAAAUAUUCUAAACUGUUGAUAUAACCGGUCAAGAUUGGUCAGUUUGUCUACAAGGAAUCUUGAUGGUUUAAAGUGAACCUCUGUCCCAUAAAUGUGGGUGUGAUGAGAUCAUAUUUAGAUCUAUAAGUUGUGAUAACACUAUCCAGCUGAUAUAUAUUUAAUGUUAUACUUCCCUGAAUUUGCUAAAUAUCUUCCUGUUUAUGGAUGAGAUAUGGAUGCAUGUAUGAACCUAUUAAAAUGUUUGAGACUGAUUCCCAGAGUGCAGAAAAUGAAUAUAAUUAUUUUACAGAAAUGGAAAAUAAUAGCUUGGAGAAACAGUUUAGGCUUAAGUCUUUAAAAAAAAAAAA
Molecule: non-coding RNA, 1157 nt
Organism: Pelobates cultripes (western spadefoot toad)
Lineage: Eukaryota; Metazoa; Chordata; Amphibia; Anura; Pelobatidae
Source: the annotation of a GenBank genome assembly